Long non-coding RNA from Mustela erminea (ermine), 3767 nucleotides. RefSeq lists it as uncharacterized. NCBI's taxonomy places the organism in Eukaryota, Metazoa, Chordata, Mammalia, Carnivora, Mustelidae. The transcript is spliced from 2 exons. The record is from RefSeq and is a predicted model, not a curated record.
GUGUGUGUGUCAAAUAAAUACAGUCUUAAAAAACAACAACAACAAUAACCGAGCUCAAAGACAAACACCAGCAGGGCUGUCUGCACAAUCAGCCUGCAGCGGGGCAAGGCAGGGGGUGGGGGGGCUCUCCUCUUUCCAGUCCUGUCUUCUCCCUGUGCUGCUGUGCAUUUUCCUUUCCUCAGUCUGACUGUCCACAGAAGGGGUCUCAGAGGAGAAUGGGGGAAGUCAUGGUGGGUAUUAGGGAGACUUUGUCAGUAGCCAGGCUACUCAACUGGGAGACAGGGUGUCCUCUUCAUGAGGCCAUAGCAGAACCGGGACCGUUGUUCUGAGAAGCAGAUCACUGCUUUCAUCCACGAGCCCAUCCAGGAAGUUAUGGGAGAGACUGACAGCUCUGAUUCCAGACUCUACCCCUGACUUGCCAUGUGACUUUUGGGGACAAGCAGGGCCCUCGCAGUUGCUGAGUGCCCAUCCACUGCGUGGGGUGGUGGUGGGGAGACAUGCUCCCCAUACGCUCCGCGCGGUACCUCAUUGGGACCGCAAAGGCCACUCCAUUGCCUGGUGGCGAGGUCCUCUGGGCCUCGGUGCUGGCUGUUGGAGGGAGCUGGCGCCCCAGUCUCAGAAUGAAACCCUGUAGGUGCUAGCCUGCUCCAGACUGCCCCCCCGCCCCGUCUUUCUGGCCCUUCUUUACUCUUGCAGGGCGGGAGGCUCUUGCUCAUUUCUUCAUUCCUUCAUUCACCCGCCAAGUGCAUACCACGGGGCUCCUGUGCUCAGGGCUGUGCACGGCUGCCGCAUCCGUCAGUGAGCAAGGAAAGUCCCUGUCUUCAUGGUGUUUGCACCCUCGUCGGGGAGACAGGCCGAUGGGUGUGAGCCAGCUCCUCCCACAAAGAGCUUUGCGUAAGAUGCUGACUACAACAACAGAGAGGAGGAACAGAUUGCUAAGAGAGCACACGACAGGCAAGAUCGCUUUGCUGCAGGAGCAGCCGAGGUGCCCUUGGAUUUGCUGCUUAACCUCCUAGAGCCUCACCUGUGGAAUGGGCACAUCGCCAUGGGCUUCACAGGGCUGCUGUGGGAAGUGGGGAAACUGAUGGACAUGGAAAAGCACUUUGACAGAACAGUGCGGCCUUCCUGGAAGAAAGCAAACAAAAACAAGUGUGACUGUUUAAAAAAUUAUUGGAAAACCCGUUCUGCACACUCUGGCCUUGAGUGGCUCUCCUGGGCAGAGGAUGCGUCACCUGCUGCUUCCCUCUAGUCUCACCGCUCCCCCGAAAUCUGUGGGGAGGGGGUGGGGCAGCGUGUGGCCUUGAAGGAGGAGGGAGCUGGCUCUCGAGGCAGCCCCAUGACCAGGCCCUCUCGCACAGCCGUGUGCACCUGACACGCACAGACACGGAGGGCAGCCCACGUGUGUGCCCCUGAAAUCAGAGAAUUCUCUGCCUCCAGAGUGCAAGCCGGCUUCUGCCCUGAGUGUGGGGGACUAGUUUGGGUUUCUAUGGGGUAUUAGUUUGGGUUUCUAGGUGUUCUCUUUUGAUUUGCAGCAUCCUUGGCGCUGUUAUUAGUAACCCCGUUGGCCAGGCAGAGGCUGAGGAUGAAGCCUUUUCACUGCAGCCAUCUGGUCAGAUGCUUUCCCUUUGAUGAGGGAGGAACCUUCCCCGUACUUCAGCUGGAACGCUGCCUCCCAAUUAAGGUGACAGCAGAUGCCAAAUGGCCAGGUCUUCGCAGGAGCGGGACGCUGGGCCAGGCUUGAGAGCGUGGCUGGGCCGGGAGGGAGCCUGCCUCGCGGCCUGAUGGUGCCAGCGCGCAGGGACGCGGCCCGGAGAGCCUCCGUCAGGUGCGGACCGGCGGGGCUGGCUCUGCGCUCAGGUUUUCCACUGUCGGGCGGUGAGUCGGGCGGUGACAGCGAUGCAUCACAGACACCCUCAGGAGACGCUCCUCUGCUUUCAUAACAAUGAAGGAUUUUUUUCCUCUGACUCAUCUUCAGAAGAUCCCCCCCCCUUCUUCAUUUGAAAAUAAAUAUAAUUAGUAACAGCAGACGUACUGUAUAUAGCCAGCCCUUCCUAUCCGGGAGAGCUAUAAUUAAAUGUACAUGCUGCCUGUCGGUCGCUGUCGGCUAGAGGCCUCGCCACCCGCUCCGGGGACGCGGUGGCCCUUGGGUGGGUGCUGCAGAGAGAGAGGCCUGUCAGGGCUCUGCGCCCAGCGCCGGGAGGGGGCGGGGUGGCGGGAAGCGGAUGCACAAGGUGGGCUGAGUGGACGUUGUCCCCUCGCACUGCCCCGGCCUGGGCUUGUCUCCGUUCUCCUCCUCAAGCUGCUCGGGGCAGCCGGGGGUGGGCCUGGUCGGUGCGGGGGCGGUGCACACCCCCUUCUGCCCCCGCCCGGCAGAGCCGAGGGAGAGUUGCCAGGUACGGUUGUCAUGGCAACGUGGUGGCCGCUGCAGGCUGCUGCGGGCGAGGGGCACCUGAGCGCCUGCAGGUUAAGAUCUGCUCUCUCCAGGCUAGGAGCCAAGACAGCGUCCUUUGUUCCCGGCUCCUGCUGGAGCUGCGGCCCCGCCCCUCGGUGGCGGGAGCUCAGACAGGUUCUCCCCAGGUAACCCUCCGCUCUCUUUCCGGACAAAAGGGCAGCCUGGGCGUCUGGUGGCCACCGUCCAGGCCCACGGAGAGCUCAUAUUCUGCCGAAAUCGGUGGGUCGGGCAGGCCCAGGAAUGCGUACACACAUCUUGUGGGCAUAUUCUGGGCCUGUGGCAGGGCCAGCGAGCUUGGUGAGACAGGCUUGGUGACACAGGGGAGGCUGCGCGCCUCCUGCCUCCUGUCCCUCGGGCGGGCAAGGCGGGGACCGGAUGACUCGUUGGCCUGGAUUGAACGCAGCAGGCGUCAUCCGAGCCACAGGCACCUUUACCCAAGUUGCUCAAAGUGUUUUCCGAGCAAACAGUUGUUUCAUAACACCCGUGAGAAGUAGGUGGGGUGACAAAGCAUUCUUUGUCCCUAUCUUACGGAUGGGGAAAUUGAAAAGCUUGUCCAUCCAGGUGGUGAGGCCAAGAAAGGAGGAAGGGAGCUCUCCCGCCCUGGGCUCUGGGGCGCAGAGGACUGGGAUCUCCGCCUGGCUCUCCAGCCAGGACGUGCUGUCGCCAACUCUUGGGGGGUCCUGGGCUGCGGGGGCAGGCCCAUUGGAGAAAGAGUCCAGAGGUGGAGGCAGUUUGAGGCUUCUCCCUCCGCACCGAGGGGCCUCCAGGAACUCAGUGGCUGGCCUGUGGUCUGAGGUGUUGACACUGGCUUUUGGGGACCCGGAAGGUGUCUGUUGGCUGGAAGUCAUUGCGCCCUCAGAGGUGGUCAGCAGAUCCCAUUUGAGCAUCCUGUGCUAGCUCAGGGAUUAUGGUUCCGGGCACCGGGGGUACAGUGGUGAGCGAGCACCCAGGGCACCUGGUCUGUGGAGCUCGCAGGAGAUACAUAAUCAAUAUGGAAUAUUAAGGAGAAAUCAUUUUGGAGAGUGCCAUGUGCCACGAGGAAAGUACAGAUGGAAUGUGCCAGACACUGGCUGGAGGGGAGGCUGGAAAGGGGGCAACCUUACAGAGGAGGCAGGGAAGGCAUCUACAGGGGCUCAAUCCCACAGGAGGAGGAGGAGCUGGCCCUGGAUGAUCAUUUCAGAGGGAGGGGACAGCUGUGCUGUGAGUCCGAGAGGGCAAUGAGGGCGGCUUGUUCCAAGGUUAAGGAGAAGGAUGCAGCUCCUGGAUGGUGGCCAGAGGGGGGACACGGAGACCUGGUCAUGGGCCAUGGGGCCAG